This 220-nucleotide unclassified non-coding RNA is filed under the name Hevea brasiliensis (rubber tree). Lineage: Eukaryota; Viridiplantae; Streptophyta; Magnoliopsida; Malpighiales; Euphorbiaceae. The record is from RNAcentral.
GGGCAAAAUGGAUGCAAAACUACCUUAAAAUGCCUAUAUGAAAUGAGUGUAACAAAUUCCCCCAAACUCAAACCUUUGCUUGUCCUCAAGCAAAUAAAAACAAUUAAUACAAUUUGGGGUACCUUACCUUAAAUUUAUGAAAAUUACUUAUCCAAACUCUCAAGCUUACUUUUAGCCACCAACAAAUCAUAUACCAACUUUCAAGGUACAAAGAAUUCAA